This 497-nucleotide ribosomal RNA is filed under the name uncultured bacterium. RNAcentral's name for it is "partial 16S ribosomal RNA". It matches the Rfam family "Bacterial small subunit ribosomal RNA", at positions 28 to 507 of the family's 1533-position model. The record is from RNAcentral.
GAUGAACGCUGGCGGCGUGUCUAAUACAUGCAAGUCGAGCGAACAGACGAGGAGCUUGCUCCUCUGACGUUAGCGGCGGACGGGUGAGUAACACGUGGAUAACCUACCUAUAAGACUGGGAUAACUUCGGGAAACCGGAGCUAAUACCGGAUAAUAUAUUGAACCGCAUGGUUCAAUAGUGAAAGACGGUUUUGCUGUCACUUAUAGAUGGAUCCGCGCCGCAUUAGCUAGUUGGUAAGGUAACGGCUUACCAAGGCAACGAUGCGUAGCCGACCUGAGAGGGUGAUCGGCCACACUGGAACUGAGACACGGUCCAGACUCCUACGGGAGGCAGCAGUAGGGAAUCUUCCGCAAUGGGCGAAAGCCUGACGGAGCAACGCCGCGUGAGUGAUGAAGGUCUUCGGAUCGUAAAACUCUGUUAUUAGGGAAGAACAAAUGUGUAAGUAACUAUGCACGUCUUGACGGUACCUAAUCAGAAAGCCACGGCUGACUACGUG